Molecule: RNA transcript, 3368 nt
Organism: Cornus florida
Lineage: Eukaryota; Viridiplantae; Streptophyta; Magnoliopsida; Cornales; Cornaceae
Gene name: coatomer subunit beta'-2-like
Exons: 26
Source: RefSeq, a predicted model, not a curated record
AGCCCUGAGUGCAGUUCGUAAAAAUAAGCCAUAAAUAUUCUCUUGAUUACGUAUAUCUUUUCCUCUCGCGACCCGCUUUAUUUACGAGCAAAACCUCGCUCUUUCCCUCUGUAUCUUACCUCUCAUGUUAUCGCUCACUCCAGUUACCGAACAAUUCCAACAAAGAUCGCUAUAGCUGAGUCUUCGCUUCUUUCACUGCGAUCUCAUCUUCAUCUUUAGGGUUUCAUUCUCCGGUUUCAUCCGCAAACAUGCCUCUGAGACUCGAAAUAAAGAGAAAACUUGCUCAAAGAUCAGAAAGAGUAAAAUCCGUGGAUCUGCAUCCGACCGAACCAUGGAUUCUGGCAAGUUUGUAUUCGGGCACCGUAUGUAUCUGGAACUACCAGUCUCAGACUAUGGCAAAGUCGUUUGAGGUUACUGAGUUACCAGUUAGAUCCGCGAAGUUUAUAGCACGCAAACAGUGGGUUGUUGCUGGUGCUGAUGACAUGUAUAUUCGUGUUUACAAUUAUAAUACAAUGGAUAAGGUUAAAGUAUUUGAAGCGCACACGGAUUAUAUUAGGUGUGUGGCUGUUCAUCCUACCCUUCCAUAUGUUCUAUCAUCUUCUGAUGACAUGCUUAUUAAGCUUUGGGACUGGGAGAAGGGUUGGGUGUGUACUCAAAUUUUUGAGGGUCAUUCCCAUUAUGUGAUGCAAGUGACAUUUAAUCCAAAAGACACAAAUACAUUUGCAAGUGCAUCUCUUGAUCGCACUAUAAAGAUUUGGAAUCUUGGCUCUCCUGACCCAAAUUUUACAUUGGAUGCCCAUUUGAAAGGGGUAAAUUGUGUUGAUUACUUCACAGGCGGUGAUAAACCUUAUCUGAUCACCGGUUCUGAUGAUCACACUGCUAAGGUGUGGGACUAUCAAACCAAAAGCUGUGUGCAGACACUAGAAGGCCACACCCACAAUGUCUCUGCUGUGUGUUUCCAUCCUGAACUUCCCAUAAUAAUGACAGGUUCUGAGGACGGUACUGUUCGUAUAUGGCAUGCAACCACAUAUAGGCUUGAGAACACAUUGAAUUAUGGUCUUGAAAGAGUUUGGGCUAUUGGAUAUAUGAAGGGUUCACGCCGGAUUGUCAUUGGUUAUGAUGAAGGCACCAUUAUGGUAAAAAUUGGAAGAGAAGAACCUGUAGCUAGUAUGGACAGUGGUGGAAAAAUUAUAUGGGCUAAGCAUAAUGAAAUUCAGACUGUUAACAUUAAGAGUGUGGGAGCAGAUUAUGAGAUUAAUGAUGGAGAAAGAUUGCCUUUGGCAGUUAAAGAGUUGGGGAACUGUGAUCUUUAUCCACAAAGUUUAAAGCAUAAUCCAAAUGGGAGGUUUGUUGUUGUUUGCGGAGAUGGUGAAUACAUCGUAUAUACAGCUUUGGCAUGGAGAAAUAGGUCAUUUGGUUCAGCAUUGGAAUUUGUUUGGUCUUCAGAUGGGGAAUAUGCUGUUAGAGAGAGUACGUCAAAGAUUAAAAUAUUUAGUAAAAAUUUCCAGGAAAAGAGGAGUAUCCGACCGACAUUUUCUGCUGAGCAUGUAUUUGGGGGAACUUUACUGGCAAUGUGCUCAAAUGAUUUUAUUUGUUUUUACGAUUGGGCUGAAUGCAGGCUGAUACGACGGAUUGAUGUCAAUGUCAAAAACCUCUACUGGGCUGAUAGUGGUGAUUUAGUGGCAAUUGCUAGUGAUACAUCCUUUUACAUACUAAAGUACAAUCGGGAUGUAGUUUCUACACAUUUAGAUAGUGGAAGACCUGUAGAUGAGCAAGGCGUUGAAGAUGCCUUUGAGCUUCUUUAUGAAAUAAAUGAACGAGUCAGGACUGGAAUAUGGGUAGGGGAUUGUUUCAUUUACAACAACUCCUCCUGGCGGCUAAAUUAUUGUGUUGGUGGUGAGGUAACCACGAUGUUUCACUUGGACCGGCCUAUGUACUUGCUGGGAUAUCUAGCUAAUCAAAGUAGGGUGUACCUCAUUGACAAAGAGUUCAAUGUUAUGGGAUACACCUUACUUCUCAGCUUGAUUGAGUACAAGACUUUGGUGAUGCGUGGUGACCUGGAACGGGCCAAUGAGAUUUUACCUUCUAUUCCCAAGGAGCAUCAAAAUAGUGUGGCUCGUUUCUUGGAAUCGCGAGGAAUGAUAGAGGAAGCGCUAGAAGUAGCUACCGACCCUGACUACAGAUUUGAGCUAGCCAUACAGCUGGGUAAAUUAGACAUUGCAAAGGAAAUUGCCACCGGAGCGCACAGCGAGUCCAAAUGGAAGCAGUUGGGUGAAUUAGCUAUGUCCACUGGAAUGUUAGAGAUGGCUGAAGAAUGUUUAAAGCAUGCAAUGGAUCUUAGUGGUUUGUUGCUGCUCUAUUCUUCUUUAGGAGAUGCAGAAGGAAUAUCUAAACUUGCAUCUCUUGCUAAAGAACAUGGAAAAAACAAUGUUGCAUUCCUUUGUCUAUUCACGUUGGGAAAAGUGGAGGAGUGCUUGCAGCUGUUAGUUGACAGCAACCGGAUACCUGAGGCGGCCUUGAUGGCAAGGUCUUAUCUUCCAAGCAAGGUUUCUGAGAUAGUUGCAACUUGGCGAAAGGACCUCAAUAAGGUUAACCGGAAAGCUGCAGAAUCUUUGGCUGAUCCUGAAGAGUAUCCUAAUUUGUUUGAGGACUGGCAAGUUGCUCUUGCCGUUGAAUCAAAAGUUGCAGAGACCAGGGGUACUUAUCCUCCAGCAAGGGAAUAUGUAAACUAUGCUGAUAGAUCAAAUGUCAACCUUGUGGAGGCUUUUAGAAACAUUCGAGUGGAGGAAGAGGAACCACUUGAAAAUGGAAGUGUGGAUCAUGAGGUUGAGAAACACAAUGGAGAAGAAGAGGUGCAAGAUGAGGGGCAAGAGGAGGCUGUUGUGGUGGAUGCUGACUCUACAGAUGGUGCAGUACUCGUUAACGGUAGCGAGGCUGACGAACAGUGGGGUACGGAUAAUGAAGGAAAUCCAUCAACCUAAAAGCAAUUGGUUUGGGCCAGCGUGAAAAUCCUAAUUUUGUCACUGUGCUUACACCAACUCGGUAGGUCCAGUCAAGACAAGUCGGUCCCAGCUAUAUUUGUCCUCUCCUUGAGGUUUCUUAUUGCGGGACCGGCUGUCCAAAUUUUGAUGUUGGUGUGAUUUUGUAGCGCAUGGAAUUUUUUAACGGGGCACACAGCACAGCCCCCCGAUCAGACAGCUUUCUUGCCCCUCCCCCUCCCCAUCUUGAUUACUCGUUUAACUGCUUGUAAUCUUUUUAGCAUAUAUUUUUAUAGGUCAAAUUUUCCCUUGAAAUUUUUAAAUGCCAUUGUGAAUGUAGAAUCAUUUAUAUCAAUUAAUGAGAGAUAAUUAUGGUUUCAAAUGCUCCCA